UUAUUUUCGUCUUUGCCACUGAUCAGCGGGAGUGGAUAACGAAGCCAUCUGUAGAGCUCAGAGAGCGCCUCAAAGCUUCUCCAUAGCACCUCCAAUGGCGACCUCCACGACGCCAUCAUCGCUCUCUUUCUUCACUUCUUCGGUGUUUCUUUCCUCUGCGAACCAAAAUUCGAAGCUGUUUUGCCAUUGGAAACCUAAUUCCCUAAAACCCCAAACCAAGCCCUUAUCGAUCUCCUCACAGCUCGCUACUCUUCCGGUCCUCUCCUUCGCCGGAGAAAAAGUCGGCGAGACCUACCUCGACCUGAAAUCUGCUCCACCGGAAACCGCCCGCGCCGUUGUUCACCGAGCCAUUAUCACCGAUCAACAGAACAAACGCCGUGGGACCGCCUCGACUCUCACCAGAGCUGAGGUUAGCGGAGGAGGCAAAAAACCCUACCAGCAGAAGAAGACGGGGAAGGCCCGCCGCGGUUCGAUGCGUACUCCUCUCCGGCCUGGUGGGGGCGUGGUCUUCGGGCCCAAACCUAGAGAUUGGUCCAUUAAAAUCAACAGAAAGGAGAAGAGAUUGGCGAUAUCGACGGCGGUGGCUAGCGCGGCAGUGAAUACGAUUGUGGUGGAAGAUUUUGGCGACAAAUUCGAGAAGCCGAAAACGAAAGAGUUCAUUGCUGCACUGAAGAGGUGGGGAAUCGACCCAAAGGAGAAAUCGUUGUUCUUAAUGACGGAGGUUUCAGAUAAUGUGCGACUUUCCAGCCGCAAUAUCGGAACCUUGAAAUUGUUGACGCCUAGGACACUGAAUUUGUUCGAUAUCUUGGAUUCCGAUAAGAUGGUUUUGACGCCGGCAGCGGUGGAUUACCUGAACGAGAGGUAUGGAAUCAAUUACGAAGGAGGAAUCGAAGACGACGAGGAAGAAGAAGAAGAAGAACAACAAGGUGAAGAAGGCGAAGAAGGAGGCCUGAAUCUAGUAAUGUCAUUUCUUCCCCAAUUAAUAUCGAUAUCCACUUGUUGAACCGUUGUUCAAAUCACCAAGCUCACAAGCGAAGUGAGGGGAGUGUUAAAGGGCUGGAGGCAGGUGAGGAUUCCGAUGCGGCGGAAUGAUUCUGCUUUAGGUAUGUUAACUUGCAGGCUUGAACGUAUUCUUUUUUGUUCUUGUACACAAAAAGGUAUCUCCUUCUUCCCUUUUCCUCUGAUAUCCUAAAGUGUUGUUAGCUGAUCUCUUCAAGAAUAAUCUUUUAUUCUUUCGGAGUUUGCAUCUCUGUUAUGGCUUCUUCUUUGCACUUUUUUUCUAAGCCUGGGAGCUUCCAUUACCAUUUCAGUUCUCCCAUGGCAGUUCUUUCUUCUUGCAUAACAUGUGAAAAUGUUCAAAGAGAUGGAGAUUUGCAGCUUCUUAGGCUCUGCUCAAAAACUAGAUUUCUGGAGUUCAUGUAGAAUUGGUUUAAAUGGUUCUCUUUCUGAUCUUAAAAGUGUGGCUGACAAUACAGUUUACAGUGGCAUAAUCCAUAAUUUCUGGCUAACAAUACAGUUUUGAA
This is an RNA transcript of Momordica charantia (bitter melon), 1523 nucleotides long. It is a transcript of the gene named ribosomal protein L4, with no coding region annotated. The record is from RefSeq and is a predicted model, not a curated record. NCBI's taxonomy places the organism in Eukaryota, Viridiplantae, Streptophyta, Magnoliopsida, Cucurbitales, Cucurbitaceae.